RNAcentral lists this unclassified non-coding RNA (363 nucleotides) under uncultured bacterium. Its description in RNAcentral is "contains 16S-23S intergenic spacer region". The record is from RNAcentral.
UCCGCCUUGGAGGCGGCAGUCUCCUAUGAAAAAACAACAUAGGAUGAGGGUUGCGCUCGUUCGCUGACUGAACAGUACACCUCAAGGCACGAGCUGACGACGACCGUGCAUCACCUGUCUUCGGGUUCCUUGCGGCACUCCAACCUUUCGGCCGGAUUCCCGAGAUGUCAAACCUGGGUGAGGUUCUUCGCUUAUUAUCGAAUUAAACCCCAUGCUCCACCGCUUGUGUGGGUCCCCGUCUAUUCCUUUGAGUUUUAGCCUUGCGGCCGUACUUCUCAGGCGGCGUGCUUACCGCGUUAGCUAAGGCACUGGAAUCGAUUGAGAUUCCAACACCGAGCACGCAUCGUUUAGGGCGUGGACUAC